GAGUCGUAGUGGUCAAGGGUGAAAAUGUCAGGUCGUAGUGGUCAAGGGUGAAAAUGUCAGGUCGUAGUGGUGUAUGGUGAAAAUGUCAGGUCGUAGUGGUGUAUGGUGAAAAUGUCAGGUCGUAGUGGUCAAGGGUGAAAAUGUCAGGUCGUAGUGGUCAAGGGUGAAAAUGUCAGGUCGUAGUGGUCAAGGGUGAAAAUGUCAUGUCGUAGUGGUCAAGGGUGAAAAUGUCAGGCUGUAGUGGUCUGUGGUGAAAAUGUCAGGUCGUAGUGGUGGGAGUGUUUGAACAGACACAAUUCUAGUGACAAACUGUCUGGAGAUUACAGCCCCACCCGUCAAGCGCGAAAACAACCGUGUUCUUGCAAAGUAAAGAAUGAGGGGAAAAAAAUAAAAUGGCCGAGUGUUGGCUCUGGUAGAGAACGAAACAAACAUCAUGUUCAGGCAUGGUCCUAUAGAGAAGUAGUCAUCUUAAUAAACACUGAAGUGUUCACUACAAUAAACAUGAGUCAUUCUCUCUCUCUUCCUCUUUCUUCCAGAUCUUCUGGUUUGUCCUUUAUUUCUCCUCGGGAAGUGAUCACGAGUGCUGGAAUUAACCCUCUUUCACUGUGCUGCUUGGAACGGACUGCCACAC
This is a long non-coding RNA of Ictalurus punctatus (channel catfish), 631 nucleotides long. Lineage: Eukaryota; Metazoa; Chordata; Actinopteri; Siluriformes; Ictaluridae. The record is from Ensembl.